GUUAUCAACUCGGAUUCCUUCUCUUGUACCUGACCUCUCUUUACCAAGAUUCCUUCAAACUUCAAGUGGUAUGCUUUUUUCUACCGCUUCUUCAAUUGCUACAGAGUUUAGUCCACAGGUUUCUGACACAAUUCACAACUUUAACUCAAUCCAGUUUCUUCCUCUUCCUAAUUUUGGUGAAAAUAGCAAACCCAAUUCAAUUAUAGGAAUUUCUCCAACGGGAGAGAACUAUGACCAAGUUGGGCUAUUUAUGCUCUGUUCUGAAGAUACCCAAUUUGUGGCUAAGAAAUUCAAGAAUGGUACAUCUAUUUUAGUGCAUAAUCACAAGUUGAAUUUUAGAAUUUUGAGGUUAUUAGUGAACCCAGUUAGUGAAAUUGAUGAUUCUUGUUCUUCUAGUUGUAUUACUUUUGGGUAUUUAUUGGUUUGUACUUUGUAUUCUGUUCAUUG
RNAcentral lists this unclassified non-coding RNA (447 nucleotides) under Hevea brasiliensis (rubber tree). Lineage: Eukaryota; Viridiplantae; Streptophyta; Magnoliopsida; Malpighiales; Euphorbiaceae. The record is from RNAcentral.